Molecule: unclassified non-coding RNA, 404 nt
Filed under: soil metagenome
Description: partial contains 5.8S ribosomal RNA, internal transcribed spacer 2, and large subunit ribosomal RNA
Rfam family: 5.8S ribosomal RNA (bases 1-122)
Source: RNAcentral
GAUGAAGAACGUAGCAAAAUGCGAUACUUGGUGUGAAUUGCAGAAUCCCGUGAACCAUCGAGUUUUUGAACGCAAGUUGCGCCCGAAGCCUUUUGGCCGAGGGCACGUCUGCCUGGGCGUCACGCAUCGCGUCGCCCCCCACAAUUCUCCGUAAAGGGAACAUGUGUUUUGGGGGCGGAUAUUGGUCUCCCGUGCUCAUGGCGUGGUUGGCCGAAAUAGGAGUCCUUUCGAUGGACGCACGAACUAGUGGUGGUCGUAAAAACCCUCGUCUUUUGUUUCGUGCUGUUGCUCGCAAGGUAAACUCUUUAAAAACCCCAAUGUGUCGUCUCUUGACGACGCUUCGACCGCGACCCCAGGACAGGCGGGACUACCCGCUGAGUUUAAGCAUAUCAAUAAGCGGAGGA